Molecule: ribosomal RNA, 189 nt
Filed under: uncultured Prevotella sp.
Lineage: Bacteria; Pseudomonadati; Bacteroidota; Bacteroidia; Bacteroidales; Prevotellaceae
Description: partial 16S ribosomal RNA
Rfam family: Bacterial small subunit ribosomal RNA
Source: RNAcentral
UGCACGGGAGGCAGCAGUGAGGAAUAUUGGUCAAUGGACGAGAGUCUGAACCAGCCAAGUAGCGUGAAGGAUGACUGCCCUAUGGGUUGUAAACUUCUUUUAUACGGGAAUAAAGUUAGCCACGUGUGGUUUUUUGCAUGUACCGUAUGAAUAAGGAUCGGCUAACUCCGUGCCAGCAGCCGCGGUAAU